GACCUAAUGGUGAAGCGGGUAAUAUAUCGCGUCCACGUUUCCUGACGCACAUGACGAUAGCUUUUCGGUGGAAGUCCCUGGUUCGACUCCAGGUUAGGUCA
Non-coding RNA from Mycena latifolia, 101 nucleotides. The record is from the annotation of a GenBank genome assembly. Lineage: Eukaryota; Fungi; Basidiomycota; Agaricomycetes; Agaricales; Mycenaceae.